This 1048-nucleotide ribosomal RNA is filed under the name Vibrio sp. RNAcentral describes it as "bacterial SSU rRNA". It matches the Rfam family "Bacterial small subunit ribosomal RNA", at positions 78 to 1115 of the family's 1533-position model. The record is from RNAcentral. Lineage: Bacteria; Pseudomonadati; Pseudomonadota; Gammaproteobacteria; Vibrionales; Vibrionaceae.
CUUCGGGGAACGAUAACGGCGUCGAGCGGCGGACGGGUGAGUAAUGCCUGGGAAAUUGCCCUGAUGUGGGGGAUAACCAUUGGAAACGAUGGCUAAUACCGCAUAAUAGCUUCGGCUCAAAGAGGGGGACCUUCGGGCCUCUCGCGUCAGGAUAUGCCCAGGUGGGAUUAGCUAGUUGGUGAGGUAAGGGCUCACCAAGGCGACGAUCCCUAGCUGGUCUGAGAGGAUGAUCAGCCACACUGGAACUGAGACACGGUCCAGACUCCUACGGGAGGCAGCAGUGGGGAAUAUUGCACAAUGGGCGCAAGCCUGAUGCAGCCAUGCCGCGUGUAUGAAGAAGGCCUUCGGGUUGUAAAGUACUUUCAGCAGUGAGGAAGGCGGGUACGUUAAUAGCGUGCUCGUUUGACGUUAGCUGCAGAAGAAGCACCGGCUAACUCCGUGCCAGCAGCCGCGGUAAUACGGAGGGUGCGAGCGUUAAUCGGAAUUACUGGGCGUAAAGCGCAUGCAGGUGGUUUGUUAAGUCAGAUGUGAAAGCCCGGGGCUCAACCUCGGAAUUGCAUUUGAAACUGGCAGACUAGAGUACUGUAGAGGGGGGUAGAAUUUCAGGUGUAGCGGUGAAAUGCGUAGAGAUCUGAAGGAAUACCGGUGGCGAAGGCGGCCCCCUGGACAGAUACUGACACUCAGAUGCGAAAGCGUGGGGAGCAAACAGGAUUAGAUACCCUGGUAGUCCACGCCGUAAACGAUGUCUACUUGGAGGUUGUGGCCUUGAGCCGUGGCUUUCGGAGCUAACGCGUUAAGUAGACCGCCUGGGGAGUACGGUCGCAAGAUUAAAACUCAAAUGAAUUGACGGGGGCCCGCACAAGCGGUGGAGCAUGUGGUUUAAUUCGAUGCAACGCGAAGAACCUUACCUACUCUUGACAUCCAGAGAACUUUCCAGAGAUGGAUUGGUGCCUUCGGGAGCUCUGAGACAGGUGCUGCAUGGCUGUCGUCAGCUCGUGUUGUGAAAUGUUGGGUUAAGUCCCGCACGAGCGCAACCCUUAUCCUUGUU